CUCAUGGGAUUGCUUUAUCCUCAUCCAGGAAAUAAAACAGCCUUUGCCAACAGUUACCCCAGUGCUUCUUAAGGAGUUCAGAAGAAGAAGUAGCUAAACUGCAGCACAGCUGAGGUGCAAAGGACAAGAAAGGACCUCCUUCUGUUCUGGAGGCUGAAAGUCUGAGUGCCAAUACAGCAGGUUUCUGGUGAUGGCCCUCUUUCUAGCUUACAGAGUGCUGCCUUCUUACUGUGCCCUCACAUGGAAGGGAGAGGAACAGAGGAUAGUUGAUGAAAAGCCAAAAAGAUGGAAGAGGACACAGAUGCUGGGAGUAAGGUGUGGGGAGAAGAGGAAAACAAAUGUGAAACUCGGCUACAAAAAUCAAGAAAAAUAAAGUGGAGUAAGUGAUAAAUAGCCUAUAAAGGAGAUAAUUAUGUAUAUAUUCUAGAGCAGGGGCAUUCGACCUCUGGUACAGUCCAUGGCCUCUUAAGACCACACAGCAGGAGGUGAGUGGUGGGUGAGCAAAGCUUCAUGUGGAUUUACAGCCACUCCCUACUGCUCACGUUACCACCUGAGCUCCGUCUCUUGUCAGAUGAACGGAGGCAUUAGAUUCUCAUAGGAGUGCGAACCCUGUUGUGAACUUCGUGUGCAAGGGA
This is a long non-coding RNA of Sapajus apella (tufted capuchin), 635 nucleotides long. RefSeq lists it as uncharacterized. The record is from RefSeq and is a predicted model, not a curated record. The transcript has 3 exons. Lineage: Eukaryota; Metazoa; Chordata; Mammalia; Primates; Cebidae.